This 219-nucleotide long non-coding RNA is filed under the name Capsicum annuum. RNAcentral's name for it is "long non-coding RNA (CANN_LNC005101)". Lineage: Eukaryota; Viridiplantae; Streptophyta; Magnoliopsida; Solanales; Solanaceae. The record is from RNAcentral.
UCCAUUCCUCGAUUUAAUAUCUAUAUUACUAAACAGCUCAUGAAGUAUUCCAUCAAUAUCAUCAUGCAUAUUAGAACCUUCAUCAUCAUUGAUUAGCUGAUGUGUCUUUCUUAGUGAAGCACUUUCUCCAUGGAAAGUCCAUUUGGUGUAACUAGGAAGAAACCUUCUGGAAAGUAAGUGAUCCUCCACCAUAUCUCUAUAAUGCCAAUGUUGAUUCUU